This 23-nucleotide microRNA is filed under the name Blattella germanica (German cockroach). Lineage: Eukaryota; Metazoa; Arthropoda; Insecta; Blattodea; Blattellidae. The record is from RNAcentral.
GAUGGCUGUGUUUCUGGUGCAUG